ACAUUGGUGGUUCAGUGGUGGAAUUCUUGCCUUCCAUGCAGGAGACCUGGGUUCAAUUCCCAGCCAAUGCA
Molecule: transfer RNA, 71 nt
Filed under: Loxodonta africana (African savanna elephant)
Lineage: Eukaryota; Metazoa; Chordata; Mammalia; Proboscidea; Elephantidae
Description: tRNA-Gly (TCC) (tRNA-Gly-TCC-16-1)
Rfam family: tRNA
About the family: Transfer RNA (tRNA) molecules are approximately 80 nucleotides in length. Their secondary structure includes four short double-helical elements and three loops (D, anti-codon, and T loops).
Source: Rfam by way of RNAcentral